This is a non-coding RNA of Danio rerio (zebrafish), 461 nucleotides long. The record is from RefSeq and is a predicted model, not a curated record. NCBI's taxonomy places the organism in Eukaryota, Metazoa, Chordata, Actinopteri, Cypriniformes, Danionidae.
GGAUGACAGAGGGAUAAAGGGGGGAGGUUAAAGAGGCUGCAGCCAUGUGUCUGACUAUGAUGAGCAUGGCAGCAUGUGCACUGUUGUCAUGGCUGGCGGGCAAGUUUUUCUGGACUAAAGGAGGACAAGACGAAAGAGGACACCUGGACACAAUGGUGAGUAAGAAAGAUGGGAGGGUUUUUUUAGGUGCAAACUAGAAUUUCAUCUCAUGGUAGAUAAUAAUUAUACUACACAAAAAGGUGGUGAAUAUCACUAAAAGUGUUUCUUCGACUUGUAAUCAUAAGGGAACCACUUUUAGUGUGACAUUAGCACAUAGAUCUUAAAGAUACGCAGCACCAUUACCACUCCAAAGAACCACGAACUAAAGAACCUCUAUUGGUACUAUAGCACCUAAAUUGCUUCCCCUACACUAUCUGGCAAUAAUCUUGUGGCUUAUCCAAGUUUUAGAAACAACAAAUAAU